Molecule: ribosomal RNA, 264 nt
Filed under: uncultured Synergistaceae bacterium
Lineage: Bacteria; Thermotogati; Synergistota; Synergistia; Synergistales; Synergistaceae
Description: partial 16S ribosomal RNA
Rfam family: Bacterial small subunit ribosomal RNA
Source: RNAcentral
GCUAACAGGAGAGCUGAGCACUCUGGCGAGACUGCCGCCGACAAGGCGGAGGAAGUGGGGAUGACGUCAAGUCAUCAUGGCCUUUAUGCCCAGGGCUACACACGUGCUACAAUGCCGGCACAGACGGCAGCUUAGUGGCGACACUUGGCAAAUCCUCUAAAGCCGGUCCCAGUUCGGAUUGCAGUCUGCAACUCGACUGCAUGAAGCCGGAAUCGCUAGUAAUCGCAGAUCAGCCAAGCUGCGGUGAAUACGUUCCCGGGCCUU